RNAcentral lists this ribosomal RNA (1528 nucleotides) under Klebsiella pneumoniae. RNAcentral's name for it is "bacterial SSU rRNA". It matches the Rfam family "Bacterial small subunit ribosomal RNA". The record is from RNAcentral. RNAcentral also lists the same sequence under 14 other names. Lineage: Bacteria; Pseudomonadati; Pseudomonadota; Gammaproteobacteria; Enterobacterales; Enterobacteriaceae.
AGAGUUUGAUCAUGGCUCAGAUUGAACGCUGGCGGCAGGCCUAACACAUGCAAGUCGAGCGGUAGCACAGAGAGCUUGCUCUCGGGUGACGAGCGGCGGACGGGUGAGUAAUGUCUGGGAAACUGCCUGAUGGAGGGGGAUAACUACUGGAAACGGUAGCUAAUACCGCAUAAUGUCGCAAGACCAAAGUGGGGGACCUUCGGGCCUCAUGCCAUCAGAUGUGCCCAGAUGGGAUUAGCUAGUAGGUGGGGUAACGGCUCACCUAGGCGACGAUCCCUAGCUGGUCUGAGAGGAUGACCAGCCACACUGGAACUGAGACACGGUCCAGACUCCUACGGGAGGCAGCAGUGGGGAAUAUUGCACAAUGGGCGCAAGCCUGAUGCAGCCAUGCCGCGUGUGUGAAGAAGGCCUUCGGGUUGUAAAGCACUUUCAGCGGGGAGGAAGGCGUUAAGGUUAAUAACCUUGGCGAUUGACGUUACCCGCAGAAGAAGCACCGGCUAACUCCGUGCCAGCAGCCGCGGUAAUACGGAGGGUGCAAGCGUUAAUCGGAAUUACUGGGCGUAAAGCGCACGCAGGCGGUCUGUCAAGUCGGAUGUGAAAUCCCCGGGCUCAACCUGGGAACUGCAUUCGAAACUGGCAGGCUAGAGUCUUGUAGAGGGGGGUAGAAUUCCAGGUGUAGCGGUGAAAUGCGUAGAGAUCUGGAGGAAUACCGGUGGCGAAGGCGGCCCCCUGGACAAAGACUGACGCUCAGGUGCGAAAGCGUGGGGAGCAAACAGGAUUAGAUACCCUGGUAGUCCACGCCGUAAACGAUGUCGAUUUGGAGGUUGUGCCCUUGAGGCGUGGCUUCCGGAGCUAACGCGUUAAAUCGACCGCCUGGGGAGUACGGCCGCAAGGUUAAAACUCAAAUGAAUUGACGGGGGCCCGCACAAGCGGUGGAGCAUGUGGUUUAAUUCGAUGCAACGCGAAGAACCUUACCUGGUCUUGACAUCCACAGAACUUUCCAGAGAUGGAUUGGUGCCUUCGGGAACUGUGAGACAGGUGCUGCAUGGCUGUCGUCAGCUCGUGUUGUGAAAUGUUGGGUUAAGUCCCGCAACGAGCGCAACCCUUAUCCUUUGUUGCCAGCGGUUCGGCCGGGAACUCAAAGGAGACUGCCAGUGAUAAACUGGAGGAAGGUGGGGAUGACGUCAAGUCAUCAUGGCCCUUACGACCAGGGCUACACACGUGCUACAAUGGCAUAUACAAAGAGAAGCGACCUCGCGAGAGCAAGCGGACCUCAUAAAGUAUGUCGUAGUCCGGAUUGGAGUCUGCAACUCGACUCCAUGAAGUCGGAAUCGCUAGUAAUCGUAGAUCAGAAUGCUACGGUGAAUACGUUCCCGGGCCUUGUACACACCGCCCGUCACACCAUGGGAGUGGGUUGCAAAAGAAGUAGGUAGCUUAACCUUCGGGAGGGCGCUUACCACUUUGUGAUUCAUGACUGGGGUGAAGUCGUAACAAGGUAACCGUAGGGGAACCUGCGGUUGGAUCACCU